Molecule: ribosomal RNA, 252 nt
Filed under: uncultured bacterium
Lineage: Bacteria
Description: partial 16S ribosomal RNA
Rfam family: Bacterial small subunit ribosomal RNA
Source: RNAcentral
UACGUAGGUGGCAAGCGUUGUCCGGAUUUACUGGGCGUAAAGAGCGCGCAGGCGGUUGUUUAAGUCGAAUGUGAAAGCCCCCGGCUCAACUGGGGAGGGUCAUUCGAUACUGAUCGACUUGAAGGCAGGAGAGGGAAGUGGAAUUCCGGGUGUAGUGGUGAAAUGCGUAGAUAUCCGGAGGAACACCAGUGGCGAAGGCGACUUCCUGGCCUGUUCUUGACGCUGAGGCGCGAAAGCUAGGGGAGCAACGGG